RNAcentral lists this unclassified non-coding RNA (665 nucleotides) under Helichrysum zwartbergense. Its description in RNAcentral is "partial external transcribed spacer". Lineage: Eukaryota; Viridiplantae; Streptophyta; Magnoliopsida; Asterales; Asteraceae. The record is from RNAcentral.
GUCGCAUCGUUGUUGAUGACAUUCGUCCCAAGGUGACGUGGUGUCAUGUCGCUUGUCGCUUGUGUAUCUUCGUUUUUAGCUUUUUGAGCUUGAAACAUGUGGAUAAUCGGUUGGUGACGGACAUCACUCCCUUGGUUGAUGAAAAAGUCGUCCAAUGAUGUGAUGGUUUGUUGGUUUUGUUCUCGCAUCGUUCGGUGCAUUCUGUGGUCAUUUGGGCUGUUAGCGACUUGCUUGGCKUUUGGGCUUGGUGGGUUGCUACUAGUUUGGGUGUCUUCGGGGAUGUCUGCCGUAAAGGUGCAUGAGUGGUGUUUGGUUUGUUACGGGUGGUUGGCUCUUUGCUUGCGCAACAACUUCCACCCGGCAUACCUYUUCAGUCUUGUGUCAAUGCUUGUAUUGCGUUGAUUGCAUGGUGGGUUUCUUGUGUUGCAUACCUAAUUAAUGGUAUCGUUUGAUGAAUUGGUUUCUUUUUUCGUCUUGCCUCGCCUAUGCGAUGUGAGAUGAACCUUGAAGCAGCCUUUGUGAUCCACACUUUUGAUGCAUACGCAUUGAUUUUGUGGCCCAUUAAGUGUUGCUUGGUCUCAUGGAUAUGGAACCUGGUGUGGGCAUGGAAUCUUAAUGGUUCCUUGUUUGCCCAAGUUUAGCCUUUCUAAAACGAUUGUCUAUCA